UGGAAAUAUCAGAAGAGUAUACAUGGGG
Molecule: non-coding RNA, 28 nt
Filed under: Rattus norvegicus (Norway rat)
Lineage: Eukaryota; Metazoa; Chordata; Mammalia; Rodentia; Muridae
Source: RNAcentral